AAUUUUGGACAAUGGGGGCAACCCUGAUCCAGCCAUCCCGCGUGUGCGAUGAAGGCCUUCGGGUUGUAAAGCACUUUUGGCAGGGAAGAAAAGGCGCGGGCUAAUACCCGGCGCCGCUGACGGUACCUGCAGAAUAAGCACCGGCUAACUACGUGCCAGCAGCCGCGGUAAUACGUAGGGUGCAAGCGUUAAUCGGAAUUACUGGGCGUAAAGCGUGCGCAGGCGGUUCGGCAAGAAAGAUGUGAAAUCCCGGGGCUUAAACUAGGAACUGCAUUCUUAAAUGCCAGGCUAGAGGAUGUCAGAGGGGGGUAGAAUUCCACGGGUAGAAGUGAAAUGCGUAGAGAUGUGGAGGAAUACCGAUGGCGAAGGCAGACCCCUGGGAUGAUACUGACGCUCAUGCACGAAAGCGUGGGGAGCAAACA
Molecule: ribosomal RNA, 422 nt
Filed under: uncultured bacterium
Lineage: Bacteria
Description: partial 16S ribosomal RNA
Rfam family: Bacterial small subunit ribosomal RNA
Source: RNAcentral